UGGGGAAUAUUGCACAAUGGGCGAAAGCCUGAUGCAGCAACGCCGCGUGAGUGAUGAAGGUCUUCGGAUUGUAAAGCUCUGUCUUUUGGGACGAUAAUGACGGUACCAAAGGAGGAAGCCACGGCUAACUACGUGCCAGCAGCCGCGGUAAUACGUAGGUGGCGAGCGUUGUCCGGAUUUACUGGGCGUAAAGGGUGCGUAGGCGGAUGUUUAAGUGAGAUGUGAAAUACCCGGGCUUAACUUGGGUGCUGCAUUUCAAACUGGAUAUCUAGAGUGCAGGAGAGGAGAAUGGAAUUCCUAGUGUAGCGGUGAAAUGCGUAGAGAUUAGGAAGAACACCAGUGGCGAAGGCGAUUCUCUGGACUGUAACUGACGCUGAGGCACAAAAAGCGUGGGUAGCAAACAGGAUUAGAUACCCUGGUAGUCCACGCCGUAAACGAUGAGUACUAGGUGUAGGAGGUAUCGACCCCUUCUGUGCCGCAGUAAACACAUUAAGUACUCCGCCUGGGAAGUACGAUCGCAAGAUUAAAAC
This 530-nucleotide ribosomal RNA is filed under the name uncultured bacterium. RNAcentral describes it as "partial 16S ribosomal RNA". It matches the Rfam family "Bacterial small subunit ribosomal RNA", at positions 355 to 900 of the family's 1533-position model. The record is from RNAcentral.